UUGACCUCGGAUCAGGUAGGGAUACCCGCUGAACUUAAGCAUAUCAAUAAGCGGAGGAAAAGAAACCAACAGGGAUUACCUCAGUAACGGCGAGUGAAGCGGUAACAGCUCAAAUUUGAAAUCUGGCUCUUUCAGGGUCCGAGUUGUAAUUUGUAGAAGAUGCUUUGGGCAUUGCUCCGGUCUAAGUUCCUUGGAACAGGACGUCAUAGAGGGUGAGAAUCCCGUAUGUGACUGGUGGCAUUUGUCCGUGUAAAGCUCUUUCGACGAGUCGAGUUGUUUGGGAAUGCAGCUCAAAAUGGGUGGUAUAUUUCAUCUAAAGCUAAAUAUUGGCCAGAGACCGAUAGCGCACAAGUAGAGUGAUCGAAAGAUGAAAAGCACUUUGGAAAGAGAGUUAAACAGUACGUGAAAUUGUUGAAAGGGAAGCGCUUGCAACCAGACUUGCAGGUCGUUGAUCAUCCGGGGUUCUCCCCGGUGCACUCGGCGGCCUUCAGGCCAGCAUCGGUUUGAGUGGUGGGAUAAAGGCCUUGGGAAUGUGGCUCCUCUCGGGGAGUGUUAUAGCCCAAGGUGCAAUGCCGCCUAUUCGGACCGAGGACCGCGCUUCGGCUAGGAUGCUGGCGUAAUGGUUGUAAGCGACCCGUCUUGAAACACGGACC
This 653-nucleotide ribosomal RNA is filed under the name Phialophora sp. MLB-Phi. RNAcentral describes it as "eukaryotic LSU rRNA". It matches the Rfam family "Eukaryotic large subunit ribosomal RNA", at positions 1 to 667 of the family's 3401-position model. Lineage: Eukaryota; Fungi; Ascomycota; Eurotiomycetes; Chaetothyriales; Herpotrichiellaceae. The record is from RNAcentral.